CAUCAUCAUGGAUUAUAAAAAAUGGACUCGCUUAAAUUUGUCAUACAUUCUAAGUCAAAGAAAGGCGGAUACGUCGAAGACAAACUUAAAAUACAAAACAAAAACAAAAACAAAAAACAAAAAUCACAAGAAAGCACAGAAAACCUUAGACUGAGUAACAAGAACCCCAGCAAUAACCGAUGAUCUGCUAUAAAGGGGUAAGCAGAUCCUGCUUCACAUGGAUCAC
This 226-nucleotide long non-coding RNA is filed under the name Mytilus galloprovincialis (Mediterranean mussel). The record is from RNAcentral. Lineage: Eukaryota; Metazoa; Mollusca; Bivalvia; Mytilida; Mytilidae.